UACUAAGGGUAAUGAGGUUCAGCUGUUCUGGCAGUGUUACCUUCACCCAGUCACGUGCUCAGAAGCUUUGUGAGUGCAUGUGGUUGCUUUUGGCUUAGUGUGAGAGUGCAGCCCAUGUGGAUGCCUUGGAGGCAAAGCAGCAGAAGUGGACUGAGAACCAGCUUGUUUUUUCCAGAGUAAGAGGGACUUGCCACAGAGUACCUGCAACACUGAGAGUGGAGUGGCUGAAUGAAGAAUAGGAAAUGUGAACGUUAAGCCAAGCUUGGAACUACAGCAGAGAAAUGAACCAUAUAACAAAGAUAAUACAAAUGAGAUCUCUAAGUCAUUGGCUGAUAAACACAGCUCCUAGUGCUAUGCUGACCUCCACAUUAACUUUCUGCUUAUGUUUCUUUACCUGUAACAGAGAGGGCCAGAACAGAGGAAGAAGACUAAGUCUCUUUUGUACCAAUCCAUUACAGUUUCACCUGUAUAUCUAAUGGGCUGCCAAUAGCACUGUUGAAAUGGUAUUUCAGAAAGGCAGAGGCACCUGCUAGAGCAAGGCUUUGACCUGUGUAUUUUCCAGUCCCCUGUACACAAGGAUAAUCUUUAAGAGACAGCCAAAUUUUGAUGAGUUGUGCAAUGCAUUAAAUAUGAAGAAAAGCUUUGCCAACUCUGAUGCCUGAGGCAUGGGUUACAUUAAACAUAUCAUCUUCACAAUGUGUUUAACUUCUACUUGUUAAUGCUAAUAAUUAAGUCACCCCAAUUUUUAGUACGAGCCUUGAGCUUAGUUUACCUGGAUUGUGAUCUAGUAUUGUUUCAGUCUUGGAACUGAAAUGCCCUAGCCCCAUUAGCUCUGGUAUUUGUCUUAUCACUAAAAGAAGCAACCAUCCUGGGUGGCCAUGAAUCUGGAUUUUGAUACUAUUUUAAGCCCAUAAAGUAGAAAAUAAGAAAACAUCACUCAAUGCAUAUUAGGAGUUUGGAUAGCCAAAGCAUGAAGAAAAAAUAUGUUGCAUCUCUGUCAAUACAAAUUUGAUUUGUCCUCAGAGAUUCUUUAGUUCUCUUUGUUUGGUUUUUUUUUCGAAUGAAAUACAGUCACCUUGGAUCCUGAAG
Pezoporus occidentalis (night parrot) is the source of this 1089-nucleotide long non-coding RNA. RefSeq lists it as uncharacterized. The record is from RefSeq and is a predicted model, not a curated record. The transcript is spliced from 3 exons. NCBI's taxonomy places the organism in Eukaryota, Metazoa, Chordata, Aves, Psittaciformes, Psittacidae.